CCUACGGGAGGCAGCAGUGAGGAAUAUUGGUCAAUGGACGAGAGUCUGAACCAGCCAAGUAGCGUGAAGGAUGACUGCCCUAUGGGUUGUAAACUUCUUUUAUAUGGGAAUAAAACGUUCCACGUGUGGGAUUUUGUAUGUACCAUAUGAAUAAGGAUCGGCUAACUCCGUGCCAGCAGCCGCGGUAAUACGGAGGAUCCGAGCGUUAUCCGGGUUUAUUGGGUUUAAAGGGGGCGUAGGUGGAUUGUUAAGUCAGUUGUGAAAGUUUGCGGCUCAACCGUAAAAUUGCAGUUGAAACUGGCAGUCUUGAGUACAGUAGAGGUGGGCGGAAUUCGUGGUGUAGCGGUGAAAUGCUUAGAUAUCACGAAGAACUCCGAUUGUGAAGGCAGUUCACUGGACUGCAACUGACACUGAGGCUCGAAAGUGUGGGUAUCAAACAGGAUUAGAUACCCCUGUAGUC
RNAcentral lists this ribosomal RNA (460 nucleotides) under uncultured bacterium. Its description in RNAcentral is "partial 16S ribosomal RNA". It matches the Rfam family "Bacterial small subunit ribosomal RNA", at positions 338 to 795 of the family's 1533-position model. The record is from RNAcentral.